This 368-nucleotide unclassified non-coding RNA is filed under the name uncultured Geodermatophilaceae bacterium. RNAcentral's name for it is "contains 16S-23S intergenic spacer region". The record is from RNAcentral. Lineage: Bacteria; Bacillati; Actinomycetota; Actinomycetes; Geodermatophilales; Geodermatophilaceae.
UCCGAGUUGACCCCGGCAGGCUUGUUAAAGGCCUCCGCUGGCAACAUGGAACGAGGGUUGCGCUCGUUGCGGGACUUAACCCAACAUCUCACGACACGAGCUGACGACAACCAUGCACCACCUGUGCACGGCCCUUACGGACCCCACAUCUCUGCGGGAUUUCCGUGCAUGUCAAGCCUAGGUAAGGUUCUUCGCGUUGCAUCGAAUUAAGCAACAUGCUCCGCCGCUUGUGCGGGCCCCCGUCAAUUCCUUUGAGUUUUAGCCUUGCGGCCGUACUCCCCAGGCGGGGCGCUUAAUGCGUUAGCUGCGGCACGGAACUCGUGGAAUGAGCCCCACACCUAGCGCCCAACGUUUACGGCGUGGACUAC